UACAGGGGGCUCGAGCGUUAGUCGGAAUCACUGGGCGUAAAGCGUGCGCAGGCGGUUUGUUAAGUCUGAUGUGAAAGCCCCGGGCUCAACCUGGGAACUGCAUUGGAAACUGGCAAGCUCGAGUAUGGCAGAGGGGGGUGGAAUUCCGCGUGUAGCAGUGAAAUGCGUAGAGAUGCGGAGGAACACCGAUGGCGAAGGCAGCCCCCUGGGCCAAUACUGACGCUCAGGCA
Molecule: ribosomal RNA, 230 nt
Filed under: uncultured prokaryote
Description: partial 16S ribosomal RNA
Rfam family: Bacterial small subunit ribosomal RNA
Source: RNAcentral